UAUAUGAGAGGAAAAAAAGAGUCCAAGUGAGACGGAAAGCAAGGGAGAGAAGUAGAGACAGAGAGACGGAGUGAGCUCUCUCACGGGUAUUAGUAGCCAUUGAUGUUUAAGUCUGGGAAAUUGACUCGGUGCCGACGUUGGAACAAAGCAAAGCUGCCAGUGCUGCUGAAUUCUGGACUCUGAUUGGUCAGAAUUGGUGCAGAACAACAGCACCUCUGACAAUAAAUAGUGCAGCUGCAAAUCACACUUAUCAUCGCUAUGGCAACAGCUCAUUCACAAGGACUUGUAAGGCCAUAAGGAUGCUCCAUAUAAACGUGUUUAAAAAAGGAGUGGAACCCAAUGUGUUCUUCUGUCCGCUGUUGCUUGCUGAGAUGCUUUUCUGGUCACCACGGUUGUACAGAGUGAUUAUAUGAGUUACUAUAUCCUUCCUGGCAAAAAAAAAACAUGAAUCUGUCCAUUUUCCUCUGACCUCUCUUAACAAGGUGUUUGUUUCCACCCAUAAAACUGUCGCUCACUCACUCAACUUGAUGUUUUUUGCACCAUUCCGUCUGUGUAAACUCUAGAGACUGUUGUGUGUGAAAACCCCAGGAGGAGAUCAGCAGUUUCUGAAAUACUCAAACCUUCAUGCUCCAUCUGGCUCAAACCAACACGCAUGGCACAGUGAAAUGAAAGUCACACUUCUUUAAGAUCACAGUGUUUCCCAUUCUGAUGUCUGAACAUUGUGAACAUUAACUGAAGCUGGUGGUUUUGUAUCUGCAUGCUUCACUGCUGUCAAGAGAUCGGCUGAUUAAAGAACUGCAUCAGACAAACAGCAGGUGGAUGUAUGGGUGUUCCUAAUAAAGUGGCUGGCAGGAGGAUGCAGAAGUGCGAGACGGCAGGCACCACUUCGAUUCGGGACGGAUCCAGAGGGUACAGCUUGGAAUCCUGAUCAAAUUUCAUGUGUGGGAAAGAUGCUGGUUGAGAGAGCGAGAGAGAGAGAGAGAUCACUUGUCCAAAACAGUUGUGCAGCUGUGUUCACACAAACAGAGCCAUAUGAGAGACACUGUUGGCCUUGGCUGCCCUGAACCCAGAAACUCGGAAAAAAAAUAAUUGACAUUUUACAACAUUUGACAAAACAAUGAAAACAGCACACAUGGUUCUUCAAACAGGGCAUAAACCCUGAUAAAGCCUGCGGUUGGUUUUUUGCUUUAUCUGAAUUCAAGUGCAAGUGAGAGUAAAAUUGUGAGUGUGUGUGAGAGUGUGAGAGAGAGAGCACUUGACAUUAUUAUCCGUGGCCACAGAUGUUGCUCUCACAGAUGUGUUCGGCCCCAGGGCACCGCUGGUCCUCCACCUUCCCAGCAUGCCGAGUGCGAAUCAAAACUGGCUCGAGUUUUUGUGGCUCUUUGAAAUUAAACACGUCCCCA
Molecule: long non-coding RNA, 1403 nt
Organism: Neoarius graeffei (lesser salmon catfish)
Lineage: Eukaryota; Metazoa; Chordata; Actinopteri; Siluriformes; Ariidae
Exons: 4
Source: RefSeq, a predicted model, not a curated record